AAAAAAGCAGGAUGCUUUGCUCUUGAUAAGCAGUGUCCUCGUAAUCUUUAGGAAUAUCAUAUCCAUUGUUUUUGGGUGAACCAUUGGUCACAGUACUAUGUGUUUUAUGUCUAUUGGUUCAGUAAAUGAUGGCAAAUUU
RNAcentral lists this small nucleolar RNA (139 nucleotides) under Brachypodium distachyon (stiff brome). RNAcentral describes it as "Small nucleolar RNA snoR74". It matches the Rfam family "Small nucleolar RNA snoR74". The record is from Rfam by way of RNAcentral. Lineage: Eukaryota; Viridiplantae; Streptophyta; Magnoliopsida; Poales; Poaceae.